AAUACGAAGGGACCUAGCGUAGUUCGGAAUUACUGGGCUUAAAGAGUUCGUAGGUGGUUGAAAAAGUUGGUAGUGAAAUCCCAGAGCUUAACUCUGGAACUGCCAUCAAAACUUUUCAGCUAGAGUUUGAUAGAGGAAAGCAGAAUUUCUAGUGUAGAGGUGAAAUUCGUAGAUAUUAGAAAGAAUACCAAUUGCGAAGGCAGCUUUCUGGAUCAUUACUGACACUGAGGAACGAAAGCAUGGGUAGCGAAGAGGAUUAGAUACCCUCGUAGUCCAUGCCGUAAACGAUGUGUGUUAGACGUUGGAAAUUUAUUUUCAGUGUCGCAGCGAAAGCGAUAAACACACCGCCUGGGGAGUACGACCGCAAGGUUAAAACUCAAAUGAAUUGACGGGGACCCGCACAAGUAGUGGAGCAUGUGGUUUAAUUCGAAGAUACGCGCAGAACCUUACCAACACUUGACAUGUUCGUCGCGACUUUAAGAGAUUAAAGUUUUCGGUUCGGCCGGACGAAACACAGGUGCUGCAUGGCUGUCGUCAGCUCGUGUCGUGAGAUGUUGGGUUAAGUCCCGCAACGAGCGCAACCCUCACUUUUAGUUGCCAUCAUUUAGUUGGGCACUCUGAAAGAACUGCCAGUGAUAAGCUGGAGGAAGGUGGGGAUGACGUCAAGUCCUCAUGGCCCUUACGUGUUGGGCUACACACGUGCUACAAUGGUAUCUACAACAGGAAGCAAAACGGCGACGUUAAGCAAAUCCUUAAAAGAUACCUCAGUUCGGAUUGCACUCUGCAACUCGAGUGCAUGAAGCUGGAAUUACUAGUAAUCGUGGAUCAGCGUGCCACGGUGAAUGCGUUCCCGGGUCUUGUACACACCGCCCGUCACACCAUGGGAGUUGGUUCUACCUUAAGGCAAGGUUUCAAACCCUUGACCACGGUAUAGUCAGCGACUGG
This 945-nucleotide ribosomal RNA is filed under the name uncultured bacterium. RNAcentral describes it as "bacterial SSU rRNA". It matches the Rfam family "Bacterial small subunit ribosomal RNA", at positions 522 to 1478 of the family's 1533-position model. The record is from RNAcentral.